CACGCUCUAAAACCAAAAAAAAAAAAAAAAUAAUAAUCCAAACGCUUGUCCUAUCGACGACUCGCCUCUUUUAUAUUACCCUGAGGGGGGUCAAAUCUUUGACACCCCUCUCUGCGCACAAGAGAGCUUCUUUUUUCUCUGCCGUCAGCUCUGAUUUUCUUCCCCGAGCAAACAUGAGCUCAGUUGUGCAGGGGUUCACAAAGUCUCUCGCCAUGACUGUACUAUCCGAGAUCGGCGACAAGACCUUUUUCGCCGCAGCGAUCUUGGCAAUGCGUCACCCGAGAAGACUUGUUUUGUCUGGUUGCCUAGCUGCUUUGAUUGUGAUGACUAUUCUUUCUGCUGUUGUUGGCUGGGCUGCUCCAAAUCUGCUCUCUCGCACAUGGACUCAUCACAUAACAACUGUAUUGUUUUUUGGAUUUGGGUUAUGGUCCUUGUGGGAUGGAUUUACUGACAAAGGGGAGGCUGAAGAAUUGGC
RNAcentral lists this unclassified non-coding RNA (475 nucleotides) under Hevea brasiliensis (rubber tree). The record is from RNAcentral. Lineage: Eukaryota; Viridiplantae; Streptophyta; Magnoliopsida; Malpighiales; Euphorbiaceae.